GGUGGCUCAAUGGUAGAGUGCUUGCCUUGCGUGCAUGAGGUCCUAGGUUCAAUUCCUCAGCACCA
RNAcentral lists this transfer RNA (65 nucleotides) under Dipodomys ordii (Ord's kangaroo rat). It matches the Rfam family "tRNA". From Rfam's summary of the family: Transfer RNA (tRNA) molecules are approximately 80 nucleotides in length. Their secondary structure includes four short double-helical elements and three loops (D, anti-codon, and T loops). Further hydrogen bonds mediate the characteristic L-shaped molecular structure. tRNAs have two regions of fundamental functional importance: the anti-codon, which is responsible for specific mRNA codon recognition, and the 3' end, to which the tRNAs corresponding amino acid is attached (by aminoacyl-tRNA synthetases). tRNAs cope with the degeneracy of the genetic code in two manners: having more than one tRNA (with a specific anti-codon) for a particular amino acid; and 'wobble' base-pairing, i.e. permitting non-standard base-pairing at the 3rd anti-codon position. Lineage: Eukaryota; Metazoa; Chordata; Mammalia; Rodentia; Heteromyidae. The record is from Rfam by way of RNAcentral.